GUGCAGUUCUCCCUGAUCGACCAGCGGCCCGCUGCCUAGAUGGAGGCUGUCUGUCUCACGGCAUCCAGCUACUGACCUAUGGAACUCUGGCCGGUGGUCUACUCUCAGAGCGCUAUCUAGGGAAGGCAGAGCCUACAAGCAGGGCAGAGCUCAACACCGCCUCCCUCAGUAAGUACAAGAACGUGAUUGACAGCUGUGGAGGAUGGGGGCUGUUCCAGGAGCUGCUGGUUGCCUUGGAGACGGUCACCAGGGGCCACGGCUGCUCCAUCGCCAAUGUUGCUACCCACUACGUCCUGG
Molecule: long non-coding RNA, 297 nt
Filed under: Salmo salar (Atlantic salmon)
Lineage: Eukaryota; Metazoa; Chordata; Actinopteri; Salmoniformes; Salmonidae
Description: lncRNA (ENSSSAG00000094982.1, ENSSSAG00000098592.1, ENSSSAG00075030330.1)
Source: RNAcentral